GCUGGGCUUAGUGAUGCACACCUGUAAUCCCAGCCACUAGGGAAGCUGAGACAGGAGGAUCAGGAGUUCAAAACCAACCUCAGCAAUGGGGAGGUGCUAAGCCACUCAGUGAGACCCUGUCUCUA
This 125-nucleotide small RNA is filed under the name Marmota monax (woodchuck). The record is from RNAcentral. Lineage: Eukaryota; Metazoa; Chordata; Mammalia; Rodentia; Sciuridae.